GUUUGACCCCCCGAAACUAAGCGAGCUACUUUAAAACAGCCUCAUGGGCCAACCCGUCUCUGUAGCAAAAGGGUGGGAAGAUUUUAAAGUAGGGGUGACACACCUAUCGAGCUUAGAGAUAGCUGGUUAUUCAAGAAAAGGAUUUAAGUCCACCUUUAAGUUUUUUUACUAAUACUAAAUCCCCAAUAAACUUAAAAGCCAUUCAAAUAAGGUACAGCCUAUUUGAACUAGGAAACAACCUCUAAUACAGGGUAAUGAUCUUCUACAUGUGACCAAGUAGGCCUAAAAGCAGCCAACUUCCAAACAGCGUCCAAGCUUUAUCACUAACCAUUAUUAAUCCCAUCAUCUUUACAUAACCCACAACUACCACUGAAUAACCCCAUACCACUAUGGGAGAUAUUAUGCUAGAACUAGUAACAAGAACAAGUGCUUCUCCAAAAUAUUAAGCGUAAGCCAAAAUGAACAACUCACUGGCAUUCACCGCCAUAGACUCAUAGUACCAACUCAACAAGAAAACCCUACUACACC
RNAcentral lists this ribosomal RNA (528 nucleotides) under Plethodontohyla brevipes (Betsileo digging frog). RNAcentral's name for it is "partial 16S ribosomal RNA". The stretch from base 10 to 126 matches the Rfam family "Bacterial large subunit ribosomal RNA", at positions 714 to 852 of the family's 2925-position model. Lineage: Eukaryota; Metazoa; Chordata; Amphibia; Anura; Microhylidae. The record is from RNAcentral.